This 894-nucleotide ribosomal RNA is filed under the name uncultured archaeon. RNAcentral's name for it is "bacterial SSU rRNA". It matches the Rfam family "Archaeal small subunit ribosomal RNA", at positions 23 to 922 of the family's 1478-position model. The record is from RNAcentral.
GCCACUGCUAUUGGGAUCCGACUAAGCCAUGCGAGUCGAGAGGGUUCGGCCCUCGGCAGACUGCUCAGUAACACGUGGAUAAUCUACCCUUAGGUGGAGGAUACUCUCGGGAAACUGAGAAUAAUACUCCAUAUAUCUAGGAUGCUGGAAUGCACCUAGAUUGAAAGUUCCGGCGCCUAAGGAUGAGUCUGCGGACUAUCAGGUAGUAGUCAGGGUAAAGACCUGACUAGCCUACGACGGAUACGGGUUGUGAGAGCAAUAGCCCGGAGACGAUAUCUGAGACACGAUAUCGGGCCCUACGGGGCGCAGCAGGCGCGAAAUCUUCACAAUGUGCGAAAGCACGAUGAGGGGAUCCCAAGUGUUGGUUCGUAAGAAUCAUCUGUUUCUUUGUCUAAAAAACAGAGAGAGUAAGAGCUGGGUAAGACGGGUGCCAGCCGCCGCGGUAAUACCUGCAGCUCAAGUGGUGGCCGCUAUUAUUGGGCCUAAAACGUCCGUAGCCGGUUUAGUAAAUGCUUGGGUAAAUUGUGUAGCUUAACUAUACGAAUACCGAGUAGACUGCUGAACUUGGGACCGGGAGAGGCUAGAGGUACUCCUAGGGUAGAGGUGAAAUUCUGUAAUCCUAGGGGGACCACCAGUGGCGAAGGCGUCUAGCCAGAACGGGUCUGACGGUGAGGGACGAAGCCCUGGGGCGCAAACCGGAUUAGAUACCCGGGUAGCCCUGGGUGUAAACGCUGCUCGCUUGAUGUUAGUUGGGCUCCGAGCCCAACUAGUGUCGGAGAGAAGUUGUUAAGCGAGCUGCCUGGGAAGUACGGUCGCAAGGCUGAAACUUAAAGGAAUUGGCGGGGGAGCACAGCAACGGGUGGAGCGUGCGGUUUAAUUGGAUUCAACGCCGGG